Long non-coding RNA from Bombus terrestris (buff-tailed bumblebee), 5194 nucleotides. RefSeq lists it as uncharacterized. NCBI's taxonomy places the organism in Eukaryota, Metazoa, Arthropoda, Insecta, Hymenoptera, Apidae. The transcript is spliced from 2 exons. The record is from RefSeq and is a predicted model, not a curated record.
AAAUUAAUAUCUUCAACUUGAAAUUAAUAUCGUAGUAUCGUGAGGAAAAAACCUGGUUAGAAACUAAGCAAAACAAGGUCGUCUGUCCUUCGGUUAUUAGUUUAUAUAGAAAAGCCUGUGUGACCAAAGUCAUCUAGUUCUUGCGAAGCGUUAACAGGAUGGAAUUAGAGAAAGGGAAGAAUAGCGCUAAUGGUGGGGGACGAAUCGAAUCCAAGGAGCGGUUAAUCGAGAAGUGAGAGUGGAUCGAGAGGUCAGAGUUAGUCGAGGAGUCGAAGAGUAGAGUUGUUAGAGUUAGCGUUGUCGAGUUGCGAGAGAAGUUAGCGUUGUUGAGAGUAGAGUUGUUAGUAUUGCGGAGUCGCAUGAGUUACUAGCGUAGCUGAGAGGUUGAGUUGUUGACGUUGUCCAGUUGCGUGACAAACGGAAAUGGAAAAGUUAUCAAUAUGCAAUGGAAGCUACCCAGACUAAAAAGGAAAAGGGGAACAAAAGUAGAUUUGGAAAAUUCACGUACGAAAAUAAGACUAAUUAACCAAUGAAAAGCAAUAUCAAGUGGUUAGAAGAUCCGUAAACGUCAAACAGACGUAUAACAUUACGAAACCUCAGUGACGAGAAUUUACAAAAUCAUUCUACUUUUAUAUCAAAAACUAUACAUUAAAUGUAAUGUAAAUUGAAUAAAACAAGGAAACAUUAAAACUACAUAUAAGAAUCAAAAAACAUAUAAUGAAACAAUUGGAAGAACAAAUGAAACAACAAGAGCUCGAUUCAGACCCAUAUAGGAUAGUAAGAAAUAUUCUAAAAAAUAAAAAUGUAAAUUAUUAUACCUACUAAACAAAGAUGGUAAAAGUGAUAAUGAAAGAAUUACACACGAAAUUUUUACUUGUUUUUUAUUUGAUAGACUUUUUACAAUCAAUUCUCAUUGAGAAUUAUAAGUAAAUUAAACACCGAAAACUUGACAUAGAAUAUAUCGAAACAGAUCUAUUGGAAAGGAGACACAAGCUACACAACAUAAUUUACUUAAGCAAAAGUGUCUCAUUAACACCAUUGUCAAUGUUUCUCUCUGAACUUGAAUAAGACAAAAACAACAAGGAAAUUUAUGAUACCAGUGAGGUAUGUGAUACGUUCAUAAAAGUAGAAACGCCAACAGCUAAUGAUAAUAUUCCACAGUGUGGAUCACUUUUUUCAACCAUUGUGUAAGAACGGAUGAUUUUAAGCCGGACGUAAAUGUUGAACGAGACGAAGACGAGAGACACCACCAGCAGCGUCAGGCUUUUAACCUUUCUUAUUUUUUCCUACUCAGGAAUUUUGCAAAAACUCUUCCAACCAUUCCAUAACCAGCUAUCGAUACGACGAGUAACCUUUUUUUUGCAGAAAUUCUCUGCAUGCCACGAAUAGGAUAGAAACAAGAGGAAUCCUGUACUAUUGAGUUAGGAAUUAAGUGAUUGUGGGUUUUGUCAUUAGGUGAUAAUGACAAGAUCCGCAAUCAUUUAGUUGCCAACCUAAUACAUUAUAGUUUAAAUGUAUAUGUUGAUGGAAUCCAACAUCCAAAAUAGUAGAGAAGACAAUUGACAGAAUAUGAAUGGAUGAAAUAAUAGCUAAAUACCAUUCUUUUUUUGUACGUGGAGAAAUCCUCAUGGUCGCUUUACUGCUGCAGCAACAGCAGAGCAGUGUCGGACUCUUACCGACUAAAACUCCACGGGCAGGAUGGUAGGAAUUUGUGCGAGUGAUGGUCAGCCCUGAGGGGUGCUUACCAAGCAACUUUACCAAGCGCUCGCAGAAAGUACAAACACAACACGCAAGGGAGCACUCUGGGAUUGCCUCUGUUGUACAUUGGCUUGUGAGAGAGAUUUGGAGUUCUCCAUCCUUUCGAAAAAUAUUCAUGUCGAGGUUACAAACUCACUAUGCGUUGUCUUCAGCCCCGAGACUUAAGAAGCGCGGCUGGCUAGCCCGCCAAUAGCUAAACACCUGAUCCUAGGCCAACAAUUUAGAUUUAGAAAGAAUCAGAAUACAGUAAAGUAAAUACACAGAAUGACAAGCGACGUAAUUAAAUCAACGGAAGGAGGAAAAUAAUACACCGCGUUGUUUCUCGAUGUGGAAAAGGCCUUCGCUACAGUCUGAAUGAUUUUAUGUAUUAUGUGAUAAAAUGAAGGAUUUUAAGAAAGUUAUAAACAAUUCUGCUGAAUGGCACAUAUGGAAUUAUUUUCUCCUACAUUACGAAUAGGUAUUUUUAUGUUAAAAUUAGAAAUGUAGGUGUCCUCUCUGAAAGAAAUGUACGGUUCCACAAGAAAGUGUCCUCGAACCCAUUUUCUAUUUCGUUUAUAGCUAACAAUGCUGGAAACGGAAACUUAUUCCUUCGCUAGGUUUACGUCUGAAAAUAAGAUAGAAAAAUUUGCCGAAUGUCGAGCUGGACAAAUUGUAAGGUACAAAUUAAGCAUGCGACAUAGAAACAAGCACGGAAACAUUAAAAUAGCAACAAGAAACCUAAAAAGCACCUAUACAAUGUAGCACGCUUAACGAGAGAUAGCAAAAUCCAAUUAAACUCAAACAAGUGUUUGCACAUUGCCUUCCCUUUAAAAAAAAAAGAAUCUCAUAAGAUUAAAUUGUUAAAUCAGGAAAUCUAACGAACAACUUUGGCUAAAUAUGUUGUACUGCAUUUGGAUCGUAAGUUGGAGUGGAAAACAUUAAACACCUAAUGAUAAUGAGAAAAUCGUUGCAGUAUCUUACAGCAAGAAAAUCUAAAUUGACCAUGAGCAACAAAUUACCAGUUUAUAAAACCAUAGCAAUAACUGUAGCAGCUAACUACAGAAACAAAGAAGAAAUCAUAAUGUCAGGGGCUAGCAUGGUUUAUGAUAUAGAAACAACAAAAUUGUUUCUGAGAAAGCCGCUAAACAACUUUCCUCCGUGCGUGAUUUCGUUACAGUAUUUCAUGACGGUCUGAAUAGCAAAUGUCCUAUUAAAUAGCACGCACAUAACACAAACAAGGCGAGUUAAAUACCUAGAAUUCCACUUGGACAAGUAAUUUACAUGGAGGCUACAUACUAAAUUAAUUCUAGACAAAAUAUGGAUAAAAAGAAGACAGAUGUACUGGCUAACUAAUCGAAAUUCUAAACUCAGCAUGGAAAAUAAAUUAAAAAUCUACAAAACGGUAAUAAAACCAAUUUGGACGUAUGAAAUAACACUAUGGGGGACAGCAGCAAUGAGACACAUAAAUGAACUAAAGUCGCUACAUCGAAGAUACCGGGAACAAUAGUCAACGCCCUCUGGUAUGUCAGAAACGAGGAUAUACGCAAAGACCUAAAAAUACCAACGGUCGAAGAAGAACUCGGCAGAUACGCAAAAUAUACAAGGAAAGAACGGAAACACAUCCAAACCAACUGGCUGAUAAAGCCAGCAAAACUCGCAUAGGAAGAACAUUAAAAAGAAAACACCCCAGUGACCUCACUAAAGAAAUAAAAUAGUCAAACUCGAAAAUGGUACUGCGCUGGUAGUAGCCAUCCACAUGUUAUUUAGCUAAAAAUUGUAAAGUACAAAUUAAAUAAUAAACGAAGAAUUCAAAGUUCUAGAUGGUUGGAAAAGUCGACCGGCGCCACUCAUCCAAUUUAACGUCGGAUUUCUUCAACCGAAGCGUCGGUCGACAACGAAGGUCGUACACAGGUUCGUUUGAAGCGCUCUUAAACCCGAAUCAAAUGGACGAUAUUUAUAUCGUCUGUCUGCCAAUCGCACAGUGGUACCAGUUGCGAUGUACACACCCGUCGCUUGUAUCAAUACGCACAGAACUUGUAAUAAACAAGCGAAAAUUCUGCUAACGGAUAUGUAAGCCUAUGUUGGCUAAUAAAAACACUUUUAUUCGUAUAUCUUAAAGCUCGGUGCAGAUGAGCGAUAUUUUAUUGCAGGGCAUCGCUCCGGUGCCGUUGGAAAAGGAGAGAAAUAAAUAAAGUUCUCCUGUUUCACAAAAGAAGGAUACAUACAUAUGUAUUUUCUUGUUCUUCCAACCCAUUGCCGUUGCAGUCAUUUGUUGCAAAUUAGAUAGUUUGCAUCGGACCCAAAUCUUGAGGUUAAAAUCUUCUGUUACAAAUUAUUAAUUAGAUCUAUUUAUAACAUAUGCUAAUCCCAUAUGUUAUAAAAUCUCUGCCGGUGCAGUGGAAAACCCAAGGGUAAGCAUUUUGAAAAUAAGUGCAUUAGAAGAGGAAUUAGAACGGCCUUCUCUUACUACAAGAAAUAUAAUAGCAGCAAAAAUAUAUCAUUAAGAGCUUCAUAAUAGAUUUAAUAAUAAUGAUUUAAUUAAGGGAAUUAUUUACCCCUUUAGCCCUUAUAUUUUGAGAGGGCUACGAACAAUGUACAUCUCCUUCAAGAGGCUAAUUAGAAUACUUCCUAUGAUAUACAUUGCCACAUCAUGAAUGAAAUACUUUUCAAUCAGCUGAAACCUCGGCGGGACAGCCAGCUAAGUUUGGAGAAACCCAGAACUGCAGAGGAGGCGCCGUGAGUUCGAAUCCUGAGUCAUUAAGAUAUUGUGUACAAAGGACCGGAGAGGUCCCAGUCUGUUUUAAUAGGUUAGUAAUACACUACACGCAAGCGGCCGCCCCUCCCUUGCGUGUAUUGUGUGGGCGUACUUUCUGGAAGUGCGCUGUAUAAGGUCCGAAGUGUUGUAAACACACACAGGGGUGGGUCUCCGACAAUUAGGAAAUCCACAUUACUGUUCUGUCUCGCCCGUGGAGGUUUUAGCCGGUAAGAAUCCGGCACUACCUUCUGCCGCCCACACAAGGUGGUAAGGUGUCUAUGAAGAUUUCCUCCACGAAAAAAAAAAAAAAAAAUUUUUUUUGUAGCAUGAAAGGAGAGACGUUUAGCUAUUUUAUGAUGAAAUAAAAUAAAUCUCUGAAAUCCCUGUAAAAAUAGAAAAUAUAGAGAAUAUUAUUAUUUUCGAGCAUUCGGAAAAUGUUCUGAGAAUGAUAAUAUAGAUCAUAUUCAGAAUGUUCCACACACAGGGGAUGUGUGCACCUUCUCGGUAUAUGGAAAUAUUCAGAACGUUCAACUGAGAUGUUCUCGGACGUACACAAGAUGUCUUUAUGCUGUUUGGGGAAUUGACAGAUUGUGCAAAAACUAACAAAGGAAUCGAUUCGAAAUUUGGCAUGCUAUUUUGUUAUGACUGGCACUUACUUGUGACAAAGUCAAUCUCAGAAUAAAUUUUAUUCUUAAUUUUAAA